GACAAUGGGGCGAAAGCCUGAUGGAGCACGCCGCGUGUGUGAUGAAGGGUUUCGGCUCGUAAAACACUGUUGUAAGAGAAGAAUGACAUUGAGAGUAACUGUUCAAUGUGUGACGGUAUCUUACCAGAAAGGAACGGCUAAAUACGUGCCAGCAGCCGCGGUAAUACGUAUGUUCCAAGCGUUAUCCGGAUUUAUUGGGCGUAAAGCGAGCGCAGACGGUUAUUUAAGUCUGAAGUGAAAGCCCUCAGCUCAACUGAGGAAUUGCUUUGGAAACUGGAUGACUUGAGUGCAGUAGAGGAAAGUGGAACUCCAUGUGUAGCGGUGAAAUGCGUAGAUAUAUGGAAGAACACCAGUGGCGAAGGCGGCUUUCUGGACUGUAACUGACGUUGAGGCUCGAAAGUGUGGGUAGCAAACAGGAUUAGAUACCCUGGUAGUCCACACCGUAAACGAUGAGUGCUAGGUGUUUGAGGGUUUCCGCCCUUAAGUGCCGCAGCUAACGCAUUAAGCACUCCGCCUGGGGAGUACGACCGCAAGGUUGAAACUCAAAGGAAUUGACGGGGACCCGCACAAGCGGUGGAGCAUGUGGUUUAAUUCGAAGCAACGCGAAGAACCUUACCAGGUCUUGACAUCCCUUGACAACUCCAGAGAUGGAGCGUUCCCUUCGGGGACAAGGUGACAGGUGGUGCAUGGUUGUCGUCAGCUCGUGUCGUGAGAUGUUGGGUAAGUCCCGCAACGAGCGCAACCCUUAUUACUAGUUGCCAGCAUUUAGUUGGGCACUCUAGUGAGACUGCCGGUGACAACCGGAGGAAGGUGGGGAUGACGUCAAAUCAUCAUGCCCCUUAUGACCUGGGCUACACACGUGCUACAAUGGCGUAUACAACGAGUUGCCAACCCGCGAGGGUGAGCUAAUCUCUUAAGAACGUCUCAUUUCGGAUUUGUAGGCUGCAACUCGCCUUCAUUAAAGUCCGGAAUCCGCUAGUAAAUCCACGGAUCAGCACGACCCGGUGGAAUAUCGUAUCCCCGGGUCCUUGGAACACCUACGGCCCGUCAACACCAUAUAGAAUUUAGGUAACACCUAGAGCUCCGAUGAGGGGGUAUACCUUCGGAUAGGCAAGUCGUCCUAAGGGUGUGACAGAUCGACUAAGGGUAGAAAGUCUAUACC
RNAcentral lists this ribosomal RNA (1162 nucleotides) under Weissella cibaria. RNAcentral describes it as "bacterial SSU rRNA". It matches the Rfam family "Bacterial small subunit ribosomal RNA", at positions 367 to 1533 of the family's 1533-position model. The record is from RNAcentral. Lineage: Bacteria; Bacillati; Bacillota; Bacilli; Lactobacillales; Lactobacillaceae.